This 513-nucleotide ribosomal RNA is filed under the name Scaphiophryne menabensis. RNAcentral describes it as "partial 16S ribosomal RNA". It matches the Rfam family "Bacterial large subunit ribosomal RNA", at positions 1920 to 2597 of the family's 2925-position model. The record is from RNAcentral. Lineage: Eukaryota; Metazoa; Chordata; Amphibia; Anura; Microhylidae.
AAGUUAAACGGCCGCGGUACCCUAACCGUGCGAAGGUAGCGCAAUCACUUGUUCUUUAAAUGAGGACUAGUAUGAAUGGCAUCACGAGGGUUAUACUGUCUCCCUCUUUCAAUCAGUGAAACUGAUCUUCCCGUGAAGAAGCGGGAAUACAUCUAUAAGACGAGAAGACCCCAUGGAGCUUUAAACUCAGUAUCAACUGCCCUCCCAAUAUAUCCACCUAAUUAAGCAGACAUGACUACUAGUUUUCGGUUGGGGUGACCGCGGAGCAAAACAAAACCUCCACGAUGAAAGGAAUUAACCUCCUAAUCAAAGAGCUACAUCUCUAAGAAUCAACAAAUUGACAUUUAUUGAUCCAAUUCUUUUGAUCAACGAACCAAGUUACCCUGGGGAUAACAGCGCAAUCCAUUUCAAGAGCCCCUAUCGACAAAUGGGUUUACGACCUCGAUGUUGGAUCAGGGUAUCCCAGUGGUGCAGCCGCUACUAAAGGUUCGUUUGUUCAACGAUUAAAACCCU